RNAcentral lists this ribosomal RNA (1644 nucleotides) under Escherichia coli. RNAcentral describes it as "partial 23S ribosomal RNA". It matches the Rfam family "Bacterial large subunit ribosomal RNA", at positions 1291 to 2915 of the family's 2925-position model. Lineage: Bacteria; Pseudomonadati; Pseudomonadota; Gammaproteobacteria; Enterobacterales; Enterobacteriaceae. The record is from RNAcentral.
CGAAUGCUGACAUAAGUAACGAUAAAGCGGGUGAAAAGCCCGCUCGCCGGAAGACCAAGGGUUCCUGUCCAACGUUAAUCGGGGCAGGGUGAGUCGACCCCUAAGGCGAGGCCGAAAGGCGUAGUCGAUGGGAAACAGGUUAAUAUUCCUGUACUUGGUGUUACUGCGAAGGGGGGACGGAGAAGGCUAUGUUGGCCGGGCGACGGUUGUCCCGGUUUAAGCGUGUAGGCUGGUUUUCCAGGCAAAUCCGGAAAAUCAAGGCUGAGGCGUGAUGACGAGGCACUACGGUGCUGAAGCAACAAAUGCCCUGCUUCCAGGAAAAGCCUCUAAGCAUCAGGUAACAUCAAAUCGUACCCCAAACCGACACAGGUGGUCAGGUAGAGAAUACCAAGGCGCUUGAGAGAACUCGGGUGAAGGAACUAGGCAAAAUGGUGCCGUAACUUCGGGAGAAGGCACGCUGAUAUGUAGGUGAAGUCCCUCGCGGAUGGAGCUGAAAUCAGUCGAAGAUACCAGCUGGCUGCAACUGUUUAUUAAAAACACAGCACUGUGCAAACACGAAAGUGGACGUAUACGGUGUGACGCCUGCCCGGUGCCGGAAGGUUAAUUGAUGGGGUUAGCGCAAGCGAAGCUCUUGAUCGAAGCCCCGGUAAACGGCGGCCGUAACUAUAACGGUCCUAAGGUAGCGAAAUUCCUUGUCGGGUAAGUUCCGACCUGCACGAAUGGCGUAAUGAUGGCCAGGCUGUCUCCACCCGAGACUCAGUGAAAUUGAACUCGCUGUGAAGAUGCAGUGUACCCGCGGCAAGACGGAAAGACCCCGUGAACCUUUACUAUAGCUUGACACUGAACAUUGAGCCUUGAUGUGUAGGAUAGGUGGGAGGCUUUGAAGUGUGGACGCCAGUCUGCAUGGAGCCGACCUUGAAAUACCACCCUUUAAUGUUUGAUGUUCUAACGUUGACCCGUAAUCCGGGUUGCGGACAGUGUCUGGUGGGUAGUUUGACUGGGGCGGUCUCCUCCUAAAGAGUAACGGAGGAGCACGAAGGUUGGCUAAUCCUGGUCGGACAUCAGGAGGUUAGUGCAAUGGCAUAAGCCAGCUUGACUGCGAGCGUGACGGCGCGAGCAGGUGCGAAAGCAGGUCAUAGUGAUCCGGUGGUUCUGAAUGGAAGGGCCAUCGCUCAACGGAUAAAAGGUACUCCGGGGAUAACAGGCUGAUACCGCCCAAGAGUUCAUAUCGACGGCGGUGUUUGGCACCUCGAUGUCGGCUCAUCACAUCCUGGGGCUGAAGUAGGUCCCAAGGGUAUGGCUGUUCGCCAUUUAAAGUGGUACGCGAGCUGGGUUUAGAACGUCGUGAGACAGUUCGGUCCCUAUCUGCCGUGGGCGCUGGAGAACUGAGGGGGGCUGCUCCUAGUACGAGAGGACCGGAGUGGACGCAUCACUGGUGUUCGGGUUGUCAUGCCAAUGGCACUGCCCGGUAGCUAAAUGCGGAAGAGAUAAGUGCUGAAAGCAUCUAAGCACGAAACUUGCCCCGAGAUGAGUUCUCCCUGACCCUUUAAGGGUCCUGAAGGAACGUUGAAGACGACGACGUUGAUAGGCCGGGUGUGUAAGCGCAGCGAUGCGUUGAGCUAACCGGUACUAAUGAACCGUGAG